Molecule: long non-coding RNA, 1190 nt
Filed under: Heterocephalus glaber (naked mole-rat)
Lineage: Eukaryota; Metazoa; Chordata; Mammalia; Rodentia; Bathyergidae
Description: lncRNA (ENSHGLG00000036751.1)
Source: RNAcentral
GGCAAGGGGAACCGUUCAGCAAACCCCGCUUUCCUCGGCGGGGCGCAGGGGCCGGCGGGCGACGCCUGCACACACUCGGCUUUGCGAAGUACAGAGCGCCCGGGCCGAGUGGCGCCCGGGGUGGAGGAGAUCCUACCCGCCCAGCCCUCCUUCGGCCCGGCGGAGAGGGAGUGGGGUGCGCCCCGCCCGCCCCCAGCCCGACUCCGCUGGAAACCUGGGCUCCUCGAGCGCGCGGGGCGGGGAUGCUGCGGGGGCCGGCGGGGCCCCGGGGCAGGUGCUAGGCAAAUGCUCUACCCCUGAGCCACACCACCAGCCUGUACUGCUCAUUUGGAGAUGAAGAUGAAACCUUCCUAACCUCCCCUCCUUUAAAUCCUAAAGAAUUGUCUGCUAGAAAUAAUCCUCGCCCUCCUCAUGCCUAUAAUCCAAGCACUAGGGAGGCUGAGGCAGGAGGAUUACAGCAAGUGUGAGGCCAGCCUGGACUAUAUAGUGGGAUCCUGUCUCAAAAGACAAACAAAAAACAAACACAAAAGCCAAAUGUAGGCAGCAGGAGGGCUGCUAUAUUCUGAGUGCUCCUUCGUGUCAUAAAUCGUCCCUGCUGGUUUGGCAGAGAGAGAAGAGGAAGCCAUUUAUAUCUGGGAGUUGGGAGGAAGGGGCGUGUCUCAGCCAGGUCAGAAGCUGCGGUUUCUGGGUCCGACAAGCAGUGAAGCGGCAGAGCCCAGAGCUUGUGCUACGUGUCAGGCAGCCAGCACUGCUGCAGGCCCCAGGGGCACAGGGGACAGCCGAGGACCAGAUCACCGAAGCACUGCCUCUUAAAGCAGCUCUCGGCUGCCCCUCAGUCAAACCGAGACUGCAGGCUUUGUGGGAGUAGCUGGGGACACAGCGUGAAGUUAGGUGCAGGGAACCAGCCACCUGAUGGUGGGGAAGGCAGUAGCCAGAGUCUGCCGUUUAUUAGACCACAGACACGAACAAAGGCUUUCGGUCACCCUGGACUUCACCUGCCUCCCAGAGUGUUGUUGGCUCUCAGCUCUGCCUGGUGGAAAGAGCUCAGUUUCUAAUCGUCAGUCCUCUAAUUAAAGAACUUGCUGUGCUGUUGGAUUGCCCCCUGCCUGCUUGGCUAGCUGGGCCCACGGUGACAGCGAUUACCCUGUACCUCUGAAUUUCAUGUCCAAUAAAAAGCAGUAUUUUGCAUC